This 1444-nucleotide ribosomal RNA is filed under the name uncultured bacterium. Its description in RNAcentral is "bacterial SSU rRNA". It matches the Rfam family "Bacterial small subunit ribosomal RNA". The record is from RNAcentral.
AGUUUGAUCCUGGCUCAGAACGUACGCUGGCGGCACGCCUAACACAUGCAAGUCGAACGAAGUAGCAAUACUUAGUGGCGAACGGGUGAGUAUAAUGUGGGUAUCUGCCCUUUGGUUUGGAAUAACACGAGGAAACUUGUGCUAAUACCGGAUAAGCCUUCACAGGGAAAGCUUUACGCGCCAAAGGAUGAGUCCGCACUUGAUUAGCUAGUUGGUAAGGUAAAGGCUUACCAAGGCUACGAUCAAUAGCUGAUCUGAGAGGAUGAUCAGCCACAUUGGGACUGAGACACGGCCCAAACUCCUACGGGAGGCAGCAGUGGGGAAUCUUGCACAAUGGGGGAAACCCUGAUGCAGCGAUGCCGCGUGAGUGAAGAAGGCCUUUGGGUUGUAAAGCUCUUUCGUCGGGGAAGAAAAUGACUGUACCCGAAUAAGAAGGUCCGGCUAACUUCGUGCCAGCAGCCGCGGUAAUACGAAGGGACCUAGCGUAGUUCGGAAUUACUGGGCUUAAAGAGCUCGUAGGUGGUUAGAAAAGUUAGUGGUGAAAUCCCAAGGCUUAACCUUGGAACUGCCACUAAAACUUUUAACUAGAGUGUGAUAGAGGUAAGCGGAAUUUCUAGUGUAGAGGUGAAAUUCGUAGAUAUUAGAAAGAACACCAAUUGCGAAGGCAGCUUUCUGGAUCAUUACUGACACUGAGGAGCGAAAGCAUGGGUAGCGAAGAGGAUUAGAUACCCUCGUAGUCCAUGCCGUAAACGAUGUGUGCUAGACGUUGGAAAUUUAUUUUUCAGUGUCGCAGCAAAAGCGUUAAGCACACCGCCUGGGGAGUACGACCGCAAGGUUAAAACUCAAAUGAAUUGACGGGGACCCGCACAAGUAGUGGAGCAUGUGGUUUAAUUCGAAGAUACGCGCAGAACCUUACCAACACUUGACAUGUUUGUCGCGACUCUAAGAGAUUAGAGUCUUCGGUUCGGCCGGACAAAACACAGGUGCUGCAUGGCUGUCGUCAGCUCGUGUCGUGAGAUGUUGGGUUAAGUCCCGCAACGAGCGCAACCCUUACUUUUAGUUGCUACCAUUCAGUUGGGCACUCUAAAAGAACUGCCAGUGAUAAGCUGGAGGAAGGUGGGGAUGACGUCAAGUCCUCAUGGCCCUUACGUGUUGGGCUACACACGUGCUACAAUGGUACUUACAAUGAGAUGCAAAGAGGCAACUCUAAGCUAAUCCCAAAAAAGUACCUCAGUUCGGAUUGCACUCUGCAACUCGAGUGCAUGAAGCUGGAAUUACUAGUAAUCGUGGAUCAGCGCGCCACGGUGAAUACGUUCCCGGGUCUUGUACACACCGCCCGUCACACCAUGGAAGUUGGUUACACCUAAAGGCAAAAUGUUAACCUUCGGGAAACAUUUGACCACGGUACGACCAACAACUGGGGUGAAGUCGUAACAAGGUAACC